GAACUCAGCGCGUGGGUGUGGGCGCUAUUAAAACAAGACUGAAAGUUUGGGGUGGUUCAUUCACACGGGCUGCUUUUGCUAUGCUAGAAACCCAUUUGUGGCUUUUAAUCUUUUGAAAUCGCUGUGGGAUUUCAAUAUAUAUAAAGCUCAAUGGAUUCCGGUGCUAUGAUGCGUUGCAUCUAUUGGAUUACUAUAUUGAUCGCCACGCUUAUUAAUGGAAUAAACGCGGAUAAAACCCGCUGUCCUAAAUAUGAAUUCUGGAAUGGAGAUGGUGCAGUAUGUGUACCUUGUUCUACAUGCAAACAAUACCCGAAAACUCCAUCAUGUGACACAUGCCCACCCAUAGAGCCUUCGGAUUCCUGGAGGGUGGCAGCAAUUACCAGUUUGUCUGUCCUGGCAGCAGUAAUUGUUUUCGGAGCAUUACUCAUAGGCGUUCUAGUACAUCAAUGCAGGUCCAGGAGGACCUUACGGG
Ctenopharyngodon idella (grass carp) is the source of this 472-nucleotide long non-coding RNA. RefSeq lists it as uncharacterized. The record is from RefSeq and is a predicted model, not a curated record. The transcript is spliced from 3 exons. NCBI's taxonomy places the organism in Eukaryota, Metazoa, Chordata, Actinopteri, Cypriniformes, Xenocyprididae.